CAGUAGCCGCGGGAAAACGUAGGGUGCAAGCGCUAAUCGGAAUUACUGGGCGUAAAGCGUGCGCAGGCGGUUUGUUAAGACAGAUGUGAAAUCCCCGGGCUCAACCUGGGAACUGCAUUUGUGACUGGCAAGCUAGAGUGUGGCAGAGGGGGGUGGAAUUCCGCGUGUAGCAGUGAAAUGCGUAGAUAUGCGGAGGAACACCGAUGGCGAAGGCAGCCCCCUGGGCCAACACUGACGCUCAUGCACGAAAGCGUGGGGAGCAAACAGGAUUAGAGACCCGAGUAGUCCCUGUCUCUUAUAC
This 301-nucleotide ribosomal RNA is filed under the name uncultured bacterium. RNAcentral's name for it is "partial 16S ribosomal RNA". It matches the Rfam family "Bacterial small subunit ribosomal RNA", at positions 509 to 807 of the family's 1533-position model. The record is from RNAcentral.